This 534-nucleotide ribosomal RNA is filed under the name uncultured bacterium. Its description in RNAcentral is "partial 16S ribosomal RNA". It matches the Rfam family "Bacterial small subunit ribosomal RNA", at positions 355 to 883 of the family's 1533-position model. The record is from RNAcentral.
UGGGGAAUUUUGGACAAUGGGGGAAACCCUGAUCCAGCCAUCCCGCGUGUGCGAUGAAGGCCUUCGGGUUGUAAAGCACUUUUGGCAGGAAAGAAACGUCGCGGGUUAAUACCCCGCGAAACUGACGGUACCUGCAGAAUAAGCACCGGCUAACUACGUGCCAGCAGCCGCGUAAUACGUAGGGUGCAAGCGUUAAUCGGAAUUACUGGGCGUAAAGCGUGCGCAGGCGGUUCGGAAAGAAAGAUGUGAAAUCCCAGAGCUUAACUUUGGAACUGCAUUUUUAACUACCGGGCUAGAGUGUGUCAGAGGGAGGUGGAAUUCCGCGUGUAGCAGUGAAAUGCGUAGAUAUGCGGAGGAACACCGAUGGCGAAGGCAGCCUCCUGGGAUAACACUGACGCUCAUGCACGAAAGCGUGGGGAGCAAAACAGGAUUAGAUACCCUGGUAGUCCACGCCCUAAACGAUGUCAACUAGCUGUUGGGGCCUUCGGCCUUGGUAGCGCAGCUAACGCGUGAAGUUGACCGCCUGGGGAGUAC